This is a long non-coding RNA of Pogonomyrmex barbatus (red harvester ant), 622 nucleotides long. NCBI's taxonomy places the organism in Eukaryota, Metazoa, Arthropoda, Insecta, Hymenoptera, Formicidae. The record is from RefSeq and is a predicted model, not a curated record.
ACCUUAAAUACAGCCAAGGAAUGUCUACUAAAACUGCUCGCAAGAAAUUUCAAAUAAGAUAAUUCAGAACUUUAUCCCUCAAGAUUAAUCUCGAUAGAAGAAAAAAAAUUUAAUUUAAACACAGCGGACGAAAUUAUAUGCUGGCUACGUUAAAUAUGAAACACACAGUUUAUUUAAUGGACAAAUUCUGGCCGAUUGGAAAUAAUUAAAAGUUUGAAAUAAAUACAGAUAUCAUGUUGAACUUUGCAAUAAACUCGGGUAACUCGGGCAAAAUCAAAUACCAUCCUGAAAAUUGAUCAAUAGUUAGAAAAAUGUAAAAUCCGCACCCGUGUAGAAAAGUAACUCUUCAAUCCGCGUGUGACAGCGGAAACUGCAAAGUGAAAAGUUCCAACGACGGCCGAAAGAGCAGUCGUUCCCUUCACAUCCGGUCUGACGGGAGUCGGAAAAAUUAUUUUUACUUCAAUCGCGAGUGUUUCGUCGCAGUUGUCGCGUGUUGCUUCGAACUUGCUAUUGUAAGCUUCUUAAAAACUAUACUUUACAAUAUUUUUCUGUGAUGAUGUUUUUAUACACUACAAGGCCUUGAUGCAUCAUAUGGUGUUUCUUUUGUAAAAGCAAAAAAAAA